Molecule: long non-coding RNA, 24090 nt
Filed under: Gossypium barbadense (sea-island cotton)
Lineage: Eukaryota; Viridiplantae; Streptophyta; Magnoliopsida; Malvales; Malvaceae
Description: long non-coding RNA (GBAR_LNC013168)
Source: RNAcentral
CCACAACAUCAGAAGCUUAAGUGAUUUGCCCUUCUUUCAACGAACCAAUGAGUUGGGGUUCUGUUCGAUUCACGAUUGCAGAGGGAUAGAAUCUGUGCUUGAUCUGUCGUCACAAUCCCAAUCAUGCACCCCAUUUGAGAACCUUGAGCUCUUGAGGCUUGAAAAUUUGGAUAACCUUAAUGUGCUUGUUAAAGUAGCAGAAGCAUAUGUUGUUUCUACUUUGAGUUCACAGUCUAUUCCGGCCAUCUUUUCCCAUCUUAAAUCAUUUCAUAUUGAAGGAUGCUCAAACAUGAAGCAGCUCUUUCCCUUUGACUUGGUACAUGACCUCCAAAACCUAGAGAACCUCAUAGUUCGUGGUUGUGGACAAAUAGAGGAAAUAAUAGGACCAAAAGAAGAGGCUGAGGAUCACAAGGGAAAUGGAACGCAAGCUCCAACAAAGUUCAGCCUUUCCAAAUUAAAGGAGUUAGAAUUGACGUGCUUACCAGAGCUGAAGAGCAUAUGCAGUUCAAAUAGGGAAAUGGUAUGCAACUCUCUUAGGAAAAUUAAAGUAUGGGACUGUACGAAGCUAAAAAGGAUGCCUCUGUGUCUUCCUCAUUUUCUAGAUACACACCAAGCAGCUCCUUCUGUUCGUCCUUUCGUAAGUGUCCUCGCGCAUCCAAAGGAGUGGUGGGAAUCAGUAGAGUGGGACUAUCCGAAUGCUAAGGAGGUUCUGCGACCUUGGUUGAACUUUUAUUAGCGCUGCUGGAAGCCUUUGCUGUUCAAAUCAAAUUCCGGAUCAAGCUAAACAGUGAGUCUUCAUUUGUUGCUUUUAUUUCUAGAAAAAAAAUUGAAGAUUUUUUAUUCUACCAAAAAGAAGACGGGCAAGAAGAGGAUUAUGAUUGGCAAAAUAGAGACCAAAGAGAACAAAGCUAUUACCAAUGUUUGAAACAAAUUUAUAUCAAUUAGCAUCAUGCUUUGUUACCAGCUGUAGGCUAAUUUGGUUGAAAUGGUUUUAAUAAAGCACGGUCUCAUUUGCUUCUUUGUUUAACCCCAGUGAUUAGGCUUGCUCUAGAACCCUUGAGAUUCUCAUUAUGACAUUAAUGAUUUGAAUGAACGAACAGCCCCUUUUUCUUCUUUAUUUGGUAACUGCGCUUUAAGUUGAUAUAAAUAUGUUUUCCAAUGUAGUAUUCUUGUUUGCUUAGAUCAAUGUCAAAAACCUUGCCUCCAAUGCUUCCCUUUCUUCUCCACCUUUUUUUUUUUUUGAAUUCUUUGUGGGGUCUUAUUAAAUACAGGUUGUUUAUACCAUUCUAAAGCUAGCAAAGCAGUUGGCUUGACAAUCAAAUCUUUGAGAAACAAAUCAACCCAACUCAUCACUGUACCUUCAUUCUUCUGUGGUGGUUCUAUCUUUGAUGUGGUACUUCGUCGGAUGCAUCCUUCUCUUGUGGUUUUAUCUUUAAUAAAUGAACUUCAAUUUGGUUUCAAUGUGAUUGGAUUGUUGAUGUUGUAAUUCAACUUUGUACUUGAUAAUCCUGCUUCUAGUUUGCAUCAUUUUUUACCAUGUGGUUGUGUUUCCUGUGGCUUAAUUGUCUCAUUUAAUCUUGGAACUUGCACAUUUAUAUAUAUAUUGAACCAUCCCAAAGGUAUAUACCACUUCUUGAAAUGGUGUUUUAUUUAGGUGGCCUUUUUGCUAUUGUGAACCAUCCCAAUGCUAAGCAGGAUCUGCUACCUUACUUGGUAAUGCUAUAGCGCUACUGAAAGGCUUUAUCCAAAACUCUAUCUAUUCCUUGCAUCUGAUGGUGGGUUAAUGUUUAGACAUAAUCUAGACUUGGAUUUGAUUAAAUGAGCGUUUAUCUAGAUUUUUCAAAUUAAAUUGAUUUGGUUUCAGAAUUAGAAUAAAAAGCUAGUUUUGAAAUUUAUUUUAUUUAAGUUGGAAUGUAUUUUAUUUUGAGUUUAAAUUAAUUAAUAAAAUAAUUUUAAUUUAAUAUAUUAAGUCAAGAUUUUUAGUUGAUUAAGCAAUUUAUUAGUGAUUAAUGGAACUAGUUCAAAAAUUUAUCUUAACUGAAAUAAUUACAUUAAAAAAAUUAAAAUAUCAUAGAGUGAACAUUAUCAUCACAAUUUGCAUUCAUGUAGUUAUAUAACUCUACUUUUAGUUAUCACAACAGCAGAACAGGUUUUUAGCGGCGUUUUUUUUUGCCUUUAGCGGCGCUUUUAAACGCCACUAAAUCCAUUUCUGGUUCUUGAAGAAGCGCCGCAAAAAAUGCCGCUAACGACAACGUCGCAAAUUUUUGCGGCGCUUACAGAAAAAAAUGCCACUAAAGAUCAUGUUCUUUAGCGGCCCUUAGAAAAAAACGCCGCUAAAGAUCAUGUUCUUUAGCGGCGCUAAAAAAAUAAACGCCACUAAAGACCAUCUUUUUUAGCGGCGCUAAAAAAUAAACGCCACUAAAGACCAUGUUCUUUAGCGGCGCUUUAGAAAUAAACGCCACUAAAGAGCAUGUUCUUUAGCGGCGCUUAGAAAUAAACGCCACUAAAGAUCAUGUUCUUUAGCGGCGCUAAGGAAAUAAACGCCGCUAAAGAUCAUGUUAUUUAGCGGCGCUUAAGAAAAAAACGCCGCUAAAGAUCAUGUUCUUUAGCGGCGCUUUGAAAGAAAACGCCUCUAAAAGUAAUGUUCUAUAGCGGCGCUUGUUUAAAAACGCCGCUAAAAGUAGUAUUCUUUUAGCAGCGCUUAUUUCAGAAAUGCCACUGUUUGAUAUGACUUUUAGCGGCGCUUUUUUAAAAAACGCCACUAAUUUUAGGAUUUUUUUUAAAUAAAACUUUCUGUUUUUUUCUGCCCUCCUGCAACAAAAAAUUAAAAGCAACCAAAUCUAAACUAACAAAAAACAAUAAAUUUAUAUAAUAUUUCAAAUUAAAUGACUAAAAUAAUAUUAAUUUAUAUAAAUAAAAUUGAAUUCAUACUUUUCUUUACAAAAGCGUUAAAAGUAUUUAUGCAACAUACACUAUGACGGCGGAAGUUGCGACUGCUGAAACAUCUUCAUCAUAAUCUGAAGCUGCUGUUGAAGUUCGUUGUACUUUUUGCUCUGCUCCGCUUCUCUCGAUGCCGCAUCUUUUUGAAGUCGUAGCUAUAGUUCUUCAUAUUUCUUUUGAACCUCUGCUUCUAUCGCUGCUUCUCUCGCUGCUUCUCUCGCUGCGGCCUCUGCUUCUCUCGCUGUGGCCUCUGCUUUAAGUUGUUGCUGAAGUUCUUCAUAUUUCCUUUGAACCUCAAAUGUGAUCGCUUGCAUCUGAGCCAUCUGGUCUUUUAACCUCUGAACUUCAGCUUGAGAUUGACUCCCCGAAGCCAUGUAUUGGUGCGAGCUGGAUCCAAAAUAUUGGGUUGGGCUGAUAAAAGAUCCUUGAAAUCGAACCCGACCAUACUUUUCAGGACCCAAUACUUCAGUAAUAAUCCGGUUAUCAAUGUCUUCAAGAUGAACAGAACUAUCACUAGAAGCAAUCGCUUCGUACUCCGUCUUUUUUUCCUUUAGUUUUUCCUAAUAAAUAAAUCACAUAGUUAGGAACGCAAUAUAUAUAGUAAAAAAAACAAAUGCAAUAUAACAAUAGUCGCAUUACAAGCAAUGAAUUAAACCAUUAGAAAAUAAACACUAUAAAUAACUAAAACAAGUGAAAUCAUAUUAAGUAAACGUACCAUAAUUUCACCAGCUUCAGGAGUCAUAGCAGAUCCAUCUUUUUUCUUAUGUGUAAUUUCAAAAAGUUGUAGGCGUCCAACUUUUUGACCGGAUGACCGUUCCUACAAUAUAGUAGUAAAAAUAUUAUUUAAUAGAAAGUUAUACAUAUUUGAGAAUAUUAAAAAAUUAAAAAUACCUCCGCCUCAGCUACACAUGCAAAACUUCUCGACCCGGCUGUGUGAGUGAAUUUUUGUUGCUGCCGGCUGCUUUUUCCAACUCGCUCACGAUCCUACGUUAUAAAAUUUUUAGUACGUAAAUAGUAAAUACUAUAAACCAAAAUAAUUACAAUAGUUUGGAAGUACGUCGUACCUCGCCUUUCUGAGAAUACCAAAAUCUAACCGCAUCUUCCCAUUGGUACCUCAACAUACCCGGCGGGACAUUUUGCAAUUUCUCAUCGAGGGUGGUUUUUGUCUUAUAAUAAUUUUUCUUCAAAGUACUUUUACUGUCUCUCCAUCUUUUUCCCAAUGCCUUCUUUACAUAAGCAUCGGAGACCUCUAAAGCAAAUAAAGUAAAUAUAAAUGAAACUAUUUCCCAAGCAUUACAGAUGACAUUAACAUUUUGUUACCUUAAUAUUAUCGAAGGCUUGGUUUUUGUUGCUAUCGGGCAUUUGACGCCAUGACUCGUAGUUGAUAGGCAACAUAUUCGGAUUUCGUGCUAAAAUGCCCAUGUAUCCUGCUAAAAGUCGAGCUUCUGAUUCAACAGGCUGACCAAAACUGUUUCUGCGUACCUUGACACGCUCGGCUGGAUCUAACUCGUAUAACUCUCUAAGUAGCGUACGUCCUCGACCUCUACGCGUCCCACCAUUUUCAGCUACAAAUGGUAUAUUAUAAUAUAAGAAUUUGAAAAAUAAAUCAAUUAUAAGUUAACACGCAUGGAAUUAAUGUAAGUUACUUUGAACUUCCGUAAGAUCCUCGUGUGUAAUCGAAACAUUCGAAGAUCCAAUUGCUGUCUGUUGUUCAGUACUAUUUGUUUCUAUCGAGUUUGGAUCAUUUUGAACAAUGCUUUCCCUUAUAAUUUUUCUUCUAGGCAUUUUAUCUGCAAUACACAUAAAAUGUAAUUAAACUUAAUAAUUAAUUACAACAAUAACAGCACAUAUAAAAUAGUUGAGUUAUAUAAUAAGACCAAGAUUUAAUACUAAUGUAAGUAUAUAAUUAAACAAUCGUAAAAUCUUACUACAUCAUUAUUCGUAAAAAUCUUCAUCCGUAUCCUGACGAACCCAUUGAAAUUGUGCACUAGUACUAAGGGUAUUAUCGUUUAAGUUUUGUUCUGGAAAUGGAAAAGUUUUUGAUCUGUCGUCGAUGUUAUCUCUACUUCCACUGCCCAUGUCAAACAAGUCUCUAGGGAUGUUACGGAGUACAACGUACCAACCCUCAUCAGUUGGAUCUUUUGAGUAAAAAACUUGUUUGACUUGACUUGAGAAUACAUACGGCUCAUCUAUCAGUUGUUGUCCUGUGUGAAUCAAUCGGUCAAAGUUCACCAUUGUAAAACCAAAUUGAUCUUGCUUGAUUCCACGAGCUGUAUUAACAUCGGCCCAAUCACCUCGAAAUAAGACAACUUUCCAUUUGCCGUAGUAAUCCAACUCAAUUAUGUCAGUAAGCUGUCCGAAAUAUUCCACAUUUCCCUCGACUGGAUUAUUGUCCCUAGCGCUAGCAUAACUUGUAAUUGCAGAAUUAACAACUAUUCCACAAUUUUGCGUUCUCCUCAACCUCUCGCGAUAUUUUGUAUGAAAUCUGAAUCCGUUGAUGAGGAACGCACUAUAUCUUUUAACCACUCGAUUUGGACAUUGGGAGAGCCAUUUAACUUCGUCGUUUACGCUCUUCCCAUUCGAAACCUAUUGAAUGGAAAGUAAACUAAGUACUUAAAAAUGUUAUGAGAAAGCAUUAUUAUUUGUAAGCGAAAGCUCCAACUACAUACCGUUUGGCUUAACCAUUCAUAAAAAGAUUCUGUAAACAACUUCUUGAUAUCUCGAUGUUGUGUUCUUCGGUUGCGCGAACGAGAUCUCAAUAUUUGUUUGUACUCACUAUAUAUGUUAAAAAAAUGUGAUCUUUGUUAGAAGAUAAACAAUUUUUAGUUUGAUAAAUAUUUAUAAAAUUUGUAGAACUUACUUCCGUAAAGGUUCCAAUGAUUCGUGGUGAAACAGAACAUAUCGUUGUGCUUGUACCCACAAUAAAUUAUCUAAUUCCGCAAUUUCAACUUUGCCGAUUGGUUGUCCAGAACUUUGGAACAAAUAAGUACUAUCGGCUAAGUUAUAGUCUGUGAGUCCAGCAUUCCUAUUUGGUCUGUUCAACCUUGUUUCGACAUCUUCCAAAUAUCUUGAGCAGAAGGUCAUACAUUCCUCUGCCAAGUAGCCUUCAGCAAUCGAUCCUUCUGGAUAUCGCUUGUUGCGACAAUAAGACUUUAAUUUGGAUAGGAACCUAAACACAAUAUACAACAUUAUCAUAAGUUGUAACUAUAGGCAUAGAGGUGAAUGAAAGAAAAUUUUAAAAAUACUUCUUUAACACCUUUCUAUGGGAUACAUCCAUCGAUAGAAAACGGGUCCGCAUACAUCCUCGACUGUGCAUCAUUUUCAUCGUCGUUCCCAUCUUCUGUGUUUCUAUUUAUCCAACGGGAGUGGCCGCAUACAUGACAGCACUGUUGGUUUUUCCGAUCGCCCCAAUACAACAUGCAGUCAUUUGGGCAACUAUGGAUUUUGUUGUACCCAAGGCCUAAAUCUUUUAUCAUUUUCUUCAUAUCUUUGCAUGACUGAGGGAUUUUUGUAAACGGAAACAUUUCUCUCAAAAACUCUAGUAGCAUUGUCAACGAGUUUUCGGUCCACCCUCCCAAACAUUUUAACUGAAAAAGACGAACACAGAAGGCCAUUUUUGAAAAUUUUGAUCCCUCAUACAAUUCUUCGUUCAUGUCAUUAAGUAGAGCGUAGAACUUCGCCGCUUCUCUAUUUGGCUCUUCAUGAGGUACACUACUUCCCGGUUUGGUAAAAGUAGUUCCACCGACGUUACAAUCAUCAUAUGCCAUAAAAUCCCCUGGGAACGAUUACACACCAUGAUUGUGCAUAUUAAAUGCAUCCCGCAACAUACCUUCCAUGUCAUCCCCUCUAUCAGACUAAUGGUAAGCAGUCCCAGGAUAAGAUACAUCCAUCGUUAAAGAGGAAGUACUUCUAGGGCAUUCUCCAUGAAAAAUCUAUUGCUUAUAACCCUUAACAAACCCAUCAACAAUUAGAUGCUCGUAUACAACCUCACGAUAAUGCCAGUUUAGGUUGACACACUUUUUACACGGGCAAAGAAUCAUGUUCUCUUGGCUUGCAUAUUGAAAUGCAAAAUUUAGAAAACUCUGCACCCCAUUUCGAUAACCGUCGCUUACCCUUGACAAAUUUAUCCAAGACCGGUCCAUUUCUUAAUUCUUGAAGUCUGACGUUGACAAUAAAUUGCACGGUUUUAGGAUUUGACAACAAGAUAUACAUUAUAUAAGUUAUGUAAGUUAUGUAAGUUAUGUAAGUUGUGUAAGUUGCGUAAGAUGUGUAUUAUGAAACUUAUGUAAGUUAUGUCUUAUGUAAGUUAUGUAAAUUAUGUAUUAUUUACACAUGUAAGUUAUGUCUUAUGUAAGUUGCGUAAGUUGUGUAUUAUGAAAGUUAUAUCUUAUGUAAGUUAUGUAGGGUAUGUAUUAUUAUGUAACUUAUUUAAUUUAUGUAGGGUAUGUAUUAUUAUGUAACUUAUUUAAUUUAUGUAGGGUAUGUAAGUUAUGUAAGCUCUGUAUUAUUUACGCAUGUAAGUUGUGUAUUAUGUAUUAUUACGUAAGUUAUGUAGGGUAUGUAUAAUAUUAAAAAAAUAGUAAUAUACUUAUUUAAGUUAUAAAUUUAUUAUUAAUAAAAUUUAAAUAUAGCUUACAUACGUAAAUGAAUAUAUGUAUAAUAUUAAAAAAAUAGUAAAACUUAUUUAAGUUAUAAAUUUAUUAUUAAUAAAAUUUAAAUAUAGCUUACAUACGUAAAUGAAUAUAUGUAUAAUAUUAAAAAAAAUAGUAAUACUUAUUUAAGUUAUAAAUUUAAACUUAAAAAUAAAUUAAAAGUUUGAAAUUUUUUGUAAGUUAUCUAAAAUUAAACUUAAAAAUAAAUUAAAAGUUUGAAAUUUUUUUCCAUGAUUAAAAUUAAAUAAAAGAAAACAAAACAAACUAAAUUUCGGGGAUUAAAAUAGCAACUAAAGGAAAAAAAUUUGUUUUGGAGGAAAACAUAUAAAUAUUUGCAAACUAUACGGGCUUUAACCAAAUGUUUAUAUUAUUUAGACAUAAAUAACCUUCAUUUUCGAAAUAAUUUACUUGUUAUAUGGAAUAAUAUGUAUACAACAGUUAACCAUGUUUUAUAUCAAUGAAACUGAAAUGUGAAAAGAAAUUGGAUUAAUUUGUUAUUGAAUGUAACGUAUAGUUCCGAAAUUUUGAAUAAUUUUAAAAUAAAAAAAUUUAAUCCAAUUUAUUAAAUUUAUUAAAUUGCUUCUAUUUUGCUCAACAUAUAUAGCAAUCGUUGAUGGAUGAUAACAAAAAACAUAAGUCAGAAAAGUACAUGGCAAUUGUAAAAUAAGUAAAAUGAAACAUAAGCUAGAGGAAAAUAACCAAAACCAAUUACAUGUAUACAAAACCAGAGCCCCAAAAGAAACAUUUUUCAAAAAUCAUCUUGCUAUUUCCAUAUAAUAUUCACAAAAAGUCAGACCAUUUUAGUUUAUAGAUUUACUUACCACUAUAUUACAGUUUAAAAUUUUUAAAAAUACAAGAACUAAACUUGAUCAAAUUUCUGAAUCGGUAGUAAGUCCAUAUGAUUAACUGUGCAGUGACUAAUAAGUCCAUACUUCAACAACAAAUGUUAUCAUUAAUCUAGACAAUAAAAGCAAAAGAAUCAAAAAAAAGAAUGAAUCUCAAAGUUCAGCCUAAUAAAGAGGUUGAAAGAAGAUUUAUACCAAAAAUAUUACUUUGCUCAGAAUGUAAUUUGAACUUACAAAUUUUGAACAGUGCUGUAGUGUUCCGUUCCUUGCCACUACUGGAUUUUUGUAAUAGUAUGUAUAGUAGCCCUGCCAUAGCAAACAUUAAUAGAUGUGAAUCAAUAGGUUUUGAGAAUGAAUCUCAACAUCAAUAACCUACCCCUCAUCCUGAGCUAUUUUCGACAGAAAAGAAAUAAAUGAUUAACCAAGGUAGUAACGUACUAAGUUUACAGAGAAGAAUUCUUCUCUUAAAACCAUUUUCAUUGUCUGAUCGAAAUGGUUAAGGUUAUGAAAAUUAUUACCUAAAAAUGUUCUUACUUUCUUAACCCUAAUUUGAAUUUACCGUAUUAAUACCUAAAAAUGAUCUUACUUUCUUAACCCUAGUUUGAAUUUUCUUAUUUCAAUGGCUACUUGUCACUUCAGUGGCUAUUUCUCAACUAAAUACGACGACCCUCAUCAGUCGGCUAGGUAGAAUAAAAACUGAAUUGUAUGUUUAAAAAUUAAACUGUACGAAAAAAAGGAAUAAUGUGAAAACUAAAAUAUGUGAAAACUAUUGCAUUUCACGAAUAAAUAUAGAUGAAAAUGCUGAAAUAUGUGAAAAAUGAAAACCCUUGAACUACCGUCGGCAAGAGAACAAACCUCUAAGCUGGCGAUUUCAAGGUUGCCGAUUUCGGGAAACUCGUUGGGCUGCCGAUUUUCGGGUGAACUUAGGGAUUUCAGGGGGAAUUCUCUAAAAAUCUUAAAGUUUGGGGAACUAAUUAGGGCUGCUGGGGAAAUGAAUGUCGAAAGUCUGCUAGGGAAGAAAGGGGAAAUAAAAAUCGGAGUAAGAGGAAAACGGAGGGGAAGCAAACGACGACGUUUUGCUAAAUGAAAUAAACCCUUGUGGCUUUUAACUAGACGUGCCGCUAAAUCCAUGGAAAUUGCGGCGUUUCAAAACAAACGCCACUAAAAACCCACAAAAAUGGUGACGUUUGCAUUAAUACAACACAAGGAAUUCCGACGUUUUUGACAUUGCGCCUCUAAAUCCUGCAGCAUUUACGGCGUUUGACCAAAAACGCCACUAAAGAAGCUAUCAACACGGUGCCGUUUUGCUGAACACAGAUUCAGGGUAAGGGCAAAACAGAGGACAGAAAAACGAUGACGUUUGAGUAAUAGAAAUAAACUAUUGCGGCAUUUAUUAGAAACGCCGCUAAAUUUCUACCUACUGCGGCGUUUAAUCCAAAACGCCACUAGAGAACCUCCAAAACGGCCGCGUUUGGGUUAAUAGAAAAUGACGUUUGCAUUAAUACAACACAAGGAAUUGCGGCGUUUUUGACAUUGCGCCUCUAAAUCCUGCACAUUUACGGCGUUUCACCAAAAACGCCACUUGUGAAGCCAUUAACACAGCGUCGUUUAGAUAAAAAUAGAAUUAGAACGAGGGAGAAAAUGUAGGAGACCAAAACGACGGCGUUUUACUCUCUGCAAUAAAUGUUUGCGGCGUUUAACUAAAAACGCCGCUGGAUACACACAAAACACAGCCGUUUUGAUAAACACAACGCCGUUUUCAUUAAAAUAUCUUAUCUUUUUGCGGCGUUUUCUGUAUUGCGCCGCUAUAGGUCUACAUAUUGCGGCGUUUCUCUGAAAACGCCACUAAAUAAGCCUAUUGAACGGCACCGUUUUUAUGACAACAUAAUUCCUUUAGUAUGAAAUUUGUUUCUAUAUUUGAAAGGUUUAAUUAUUUCUUAAAUAAAUUUAAAUUAAAUUUGUUCUGUUCCACGCUAUAUAUUUAAUAUGUAAAAUUUUAAUUAUAAUUGUAUACAUGAAAAUAAUUUUAAAUAAUAUCAAAACUCGAGCUAGAUAUAUGUCUUCCUUCUGAAGAAUAUUAUGUAAUUUUUUGUAUUAAAUUAAGAAGGCAAAGCUUAUGAUGUUACGAUAGAAUCGAAAAAAAUUAGACGGAUCAAAACAAUCCGAAAUAGAUGUUCAUGAAUAUUGGUUAAUAGAAAGGAUCGAUAUAUAUAUAAUUCUAUUCCCUUGACUGAUCUUGAUUUUAGUUCAACUAGUAUUCGUGUCUGCGCCAUUCUUCAAACAAGAGCACGAACAUAUGACAUUGUAAGAACCCUACAAUUAGUAAGGGUGAAAAACGCUUCAUUAAAAACACUAAUUAAUCAAAACCCCGAAACACUAAACCCCAAAAUUAUACACCCUAAACACUAAUCCCAAUUACCCCUAAACUUUAAACCCCAGCACUUAAACCCUAAACCAUAAAACAUAAUCACUAAACCCAUAAUCCAUAAACCUUAAAUUGUAACUCUUAAAUCUUAAACCAUAAACCUUAAAGCAUAACCCUUAAACCCUAAACUGUAAAACCAAACCCUAAAUAUAUCCCCAUAACCCCUUAAAGCAUAACCCCUAAAUCCCCCUAACCCCUAAGUCAUAACACCUAACCCUUAAACCACAAAACCUUGAACCUUAAUUCCUAAACCUUAAAUCCAUACCCUGACCUACUCAUGAUUAAACUCUAAACCAUAUACUAUAAUGAUAAUUAAUUCAAUAUUUUAAAAUUAAUACUACCUUUUUUACGAUUAUAUAAGAAAUUAUUUAAUAUAUAAACUAAAAAAAUCAGUAAUGUAUCCAAAAAACUUUAAAAAUAUUUUAAAUAAAUUUAUUUAAAUCCCUGAGCAUUAGCGGCGCUUUAUUAAAAACGCCGCUAAACCCCUGAAAAGCUAAGAAAAUGGUGUCGUUGGGUUAAAUUUUUUUUGCGGCGCUUUCAUAAAAGCGCCGCUAAAAACUCAGCAUUAGCGGCGCUUUAUUAUAAACGCCGCUAAACCCCUGAAAAGCUAAGAAAACGGUGUCGUUGGGUUAAAUUUUUUUGCGGCGCUUUUAUUAAAGCGUCGCUAAAAACCCAGCAUUAGUGGCGCUUUACUAAAAACGCCGCUAAAUCCCCGAAAGCAAAGAAAACGGUGUCGUUGGGUUUAUUUUUUUUGCGGCGCUUCCAUAAAAACGCCGCGAAAGCCCUGCAUUAGCGGCGCAUUAUUAAAAACGCCGCUAAACCCCCCCCGGAAGCUUAGAAAACGGCGUCGUUGGGCUUAGUUUUUUAAAGCGCCGCUAAUUCUUAUUUUCAGUGGCGUUUUCAAUUCAGUGCCGCUAAUGAUCGAUCUUUAGCGGCGUUUGUUAUUAAAACGCCGCUAAAUACACCGCUAAAAGCCUAUUUUGGUGUAGUGUAUCCAUAAUUAAUUUUAAAUAUAUAUAUAUAACAAUGAAAAGUUAAGAAAUUUCAAAAAAAAAAAAAACACUUUUUGUUGAGGCCAUAGAUCAAAUGGUUAUAUUUGUUAAAUGACUACUCCAACCGUUAAAACCAUCUUUGUGAAAAAAAAUCAGCUUGAUCAAGAUUGUAUACAGGAGCUAGAAUUGAAUUACUCAAAUAAUUUAAAUUGUUUUAAAAAAAAUUAAUCAACUUUAAUAAUUUCUUUUGAGAUUAAAAAACUUUAAUCAAUUUUAAAAAAAAUUAAAUUUUAUCCAUCCCUAAUCUUUUAAAUAUAAAGAAAGACUCUAAACAGAUUUUUUUUUAUUAAAAAAAUUAUAAGAUGAUAGAUAGCUACUUAUCAUUAAAUUUAGAAAAUAUUAAAUUACUUUUAUUUUAUUAAAAAAUUAAAAUAAAUUAUUUUUUAAAAUGAAAUAUUCAAAUUACCCUAUGUAUCUUUUAUCCAAAACUAUCUACAAUAAUAUAAAAUAUUAUAUUAAUAAAAUUAAAAUUAAUAAAACAAAUAAUCUUUUAAAAUCAAUAUUUACUUUUGUUAAACAAUAUAAUUAUAUUCGAUACUUAUAUUUACUAAUUUAUCAAAUAAUUUUUAAUAUACAUUUAAAACUUAUAAAAUUUAAGGGUAAAAAUGCAGUGGUUAAAUUUUUAAUAAUUAAAAUUUUAAUUUAUCAUUAGAUUAUGUAAUAAACAACAAUAAUAUAUAAAUAAUGAAAGUCAAUUACGCUCAUUGUCUUCCAUUAAAGAAAAGUUACACUCACGGUUUUUCAGUGAUAUUUCAGAUUUAUUUUUUAAUUAGUUUUUUAAUAAUACAUUUUUUUUUAUCGUAAUCAAAAUAUCUAUAGUUGACAGCAGUUACUAAUCUCUUUUUCGAAGGUAGACAAUGCAUUUUUAAUUACAAUAAUUAGUAUAUUCGUUAUUUAAAUUAUUGAAGAUAAUUAAAUUAUAUUAUCUUAUUUUAAAAAUCAAACUUAUAAUAAUAAAAAAUUUAAAAUGAUAAUUAAAGCAUUUAUAUUAUAUUCAAUGUAGAAUAUAAUUUUACUUCAUUUAAUUUAUACAGAACAACAAUACUAAAAAUAAUAAUAUAAUUAACAUAUAAAAUUAUUUUGUCAUUCAAAUGCAGUGCUAAUAAAAAAAUUCUUAAUAAUUAUUAAAAAAUUGUAAAAAUUAUAAAAAAAAGUAAUAUAUCAUAGGGAUCAUAUAUAAAAUCAUUUAAUAAAAAAAUUAAUCUUCACAAAAUUCCAAUGUAUCCCAAAUAAAGUCAUAAUAAUAAAUUUCUUGAUAUUAAUCAAUAAAGAUUAAAACAAAAAAUAUAUAUUAUCAAAUUAGGAAAACCUACUUGAAAAUCUUGAAAAAUUAAUAUUUAUCAUAUAAAAUUCUAGAGAGAAAAAGAGAAUAAGAAAAAUAUUGGAGAAAGUGAUGAAUAUUAAAAAGAAAAAGAAUAAGGAGUUUUGAAAUUUUGAGUAGGUUGAGAGAUAUUUAUUUUGUUUUAUAUAAAUAAAAUAUUUUUAUAACAAACUUUUUUUUUUGAAGUCACUUUGAGUCCACGAUUUUUUAUUGACUUCGCCCACAUAUUAAAAGUAUAAUAUAAAUAAAAGAAUAAAUAUAUAAUCUUUCUCUAUUUUAAUUAUUUUAUCUACAUAAUGUGAUUUAUUUAAAAUAUAAAUAGUAUGAUAUUUUAAUUGAUUAAGUUUUAGUUCAAUUGGUAUGAGUAUUAUUAUCAAUGCAAUAACACAAUAGUUUGAGCGCCCCUCCUUAAUUUUUUAUAUAUAAAAGUUUUAAUUUAUAAUUUCAACUAAAUUGAACCCAAACAAGCAUAAUCUCUUCAAUCAUGGUUUAGUCAAAUUUAUUAUCUUUAAGUUUGAGAUCUAAUCUUUUAAAUUUUAAUUUGACAUAAUUUAUCCUCUAUUUUUAUAAUAUUAUUUGUUAGUCUAAAUUAUUAAUAUCGAUUAAUUAUUUCAACUAAAAAGCUAAUUUAAUUGUUUCUCAAAAACAUUAUAUCACACAUGAUCAGUUAGGAUGUGUUUUAAGAAAAAAUCUACUUCAAUUAAUUAGUUAUUUGAAUUAGCAUAUGAUAUUAUAAAAAUAGAGGACCAAAUUAUGUUACAUUAAAAACUAGAAGGAUUAAUUUUUAAAUUUGAGUAUAAUAGAGGAACCAAAACUAACUUUGACUUGUCUAUUAUUGUAGCAACCCGAUUUUUGACCCAAAUCGGAACAGUGGUUUCGGGACCACAAAUCCGAAUUAGAAAAAUAUUUUAAUAUUAUUUUCUGUGUUUAUUAUGAGUGAAUUUGAUUGUGUGAAAUUUCCGUGUUUUAAUUUCAUCGUUUAAGUAUCCGAUUUAAUAAAAGGGUUUAAACGCGUAAAAUAAAAAUUUAAGGGUUAAAUCUAAAAGCACCUAAAUGUUGUUGUCUUUUUAAAUGGGAGGAUUUAUGAUGUAAUAAGACCAAAAGUUAGAUAGUGGGUGGCAUUUGACAAGAGUAACCUUAAUAUAUAUGUUAGACAUAAUUAUUAGUAAAAGGUUAAUAUAGUAAUAAGGUAAAUAUUAACUUUAUAAUAAAAUUAAGUAAUGAAAAGAUGAAUAGGUUCAUCUUGGUUAGCCGAAUGUUGAAAAGGAAGGAACCAUACAUGGCUUUUUAAGUUUCGGCACUUCUUUAGCUUGGUUGAGGUAUGUUUUGAUUUCGAUUUUUGAUGAUUUUUACGUUUUUGUAAUCGUUGCUUCGUGUUCUAUUUAGCCCAUGCUUUAAUUUUAGAAUUUGAAGGUGAUUUUGAGAUAUGCCAUUGAUGAAUACUUGAGUUUUAUGAUAGUUAAUGAUGAAAUAUGGAAGAUAUGUGAUAGAUUAUAAUGUUUGUUUUUGAAUUUUUGAUGAAUUUGAUUAUUUUGGGUUAAUUUGUAAGAAAAUAUUAAAUUGAGGGACUAGAAUGUGAAAUAAAUGUCAUGCAAGGACCUAUUUGAGUCUAGGGAAUAUUCGGCCAAAGUACAUUGUGAUUAAUUUGGAAUAUUUUGUGUUUUGUGCAAUUUGGACUAAAUUGUAAAAAUGUUAAAUAUCAGGGGCAAAAUGGUAAAUUACCUAUUUAUGUGUUUUUGGACGGAAUUGAAUGAAAUUAUGUUUGAAUGAGUUAAAUUUGAAUGUGUAUAGAUCAAGAAUUAAAGAAAUCGGACUUGGAUCGGGGGAAAAUAAAGUCGUUGAUUAAUUGUUCCGUUCCGGUUUAUCGCUGUUCGAGGUAAGUUUAUAAGCAAUUAAAUGUUAAAAUUUCUGAAUAAAUUUUAGUUAUAUAAAUGCUGAAAUGAAAUAUGCAAAUAUAUAUAUAGCUGAAUGCGUUUUAGUUCGGAAAGUAGAAAUUGAUGUGAAUGCGAUUUAUCGAUAUUUAGCACUAAGUGUGCGAGUAUGGAAUAGCUACGGCUAAAUGAACGGCACUAAGUGUGCGAAAUUAAAAUAAUGAUGUUGGAUAAUGGGCACUAAGUGUGCGAAAUUAAAAUGAUGAUGUUGUAUAACGGGCACUAAGUGUGCGAUACCGAGAGCAACUUUGUUAGAUGAGAAAGAGCACUAAUUGUGCAAUUUCAUUAUGGCCUCGAUCAAUUAUUUUAGUACAUGAUAGUACAAGUAUACAAUGGAUGAAAAAUACUUGAGAUCAAGGUAAUUUGGUUAUUUCAAUUUUGAUGAGAAAAAAAUUUAUACGAGGAAAAUGAAAGUAUAUGAGCAUAUGAAAGUUUAUAUUUGGUCAAUUGGUAACUAUAUGUGAUUUUAUACUUAUGUUUUAUAUGCACUUAUUUAUGAAUGAGUAUAUUCGGUGAAAAGUGGGUAUAUGAAUUGAAUAUGAAAAUAACUAUGUUAUUAUUUAAAGACUUAUUCGGCCAAGCUGAAAAUUUGUUCAUAGUUACAUAUUUGAUAUUUAAGCUUUGCAAGCUCGAAUAUGUAUAUAUACGAAUAUGAUUGCAUUAUUUGAUUUUGUUAUUGAAUUAUUAAUGUCAUUAAAUUGUACAAUUGCUUAUGACUUACUAAGCUGUGGUAGCUUAUUUUGUAUAUGUGUGUUUUCUUUCGAUUUUAUAGAUUUUGGAAGCUAGUUACGGGUUCGGGGAUCGUCAGCGUAGUUAAUCACACUAUCGUCCGUUCAUCGGUAGUUAUAAAAGUUAAAUAUAAAAUCUAUGGCAUGUAUAGGCUAUACUCCCCUUUUUAUUAUAUUUUGAACAAAGUGUGUAUAUAUAUAUAUAUAAUAGGCCAUGCGAAAAUGGCUUGUUUAUUUUGACAUGAAUGGUUUCAUGCUUUGAAUGUGAUUAUGGUUGAUGAUUUAGCUAUGUUUCAUAGAUGGUUAAGACUUAUAUAAAUGAUGUUAUGCUUUGAGAGAUUUUCAAUUUUGAUUAUUAUGCGUAUUGGUUGUGAUAGACAAGUAAAGAUGAUUAAUAUGAUACGAUGUAAGUAUAAGUUACAUUCGAAUUCAUGGAUGGAAACAUUUUAGUUUUUGGCAAUUGAGAUUGAAUUUGAAUUAUCAUAUAUUAUGUGAAAAAUUGUAUAUUGUUUUAUUAUGAAAAUUGAGUAGUUGAAAUUGGUAAUUUGCAUAAUGAGCAUUGUUUAUGGAAUUGGUCUUGUAAAUGACCUUUGAUACAAUUGAAGGUUAAAUAAUACAUAGUAAAUAUAUAUAUAUAGGAUGGGCCUUGGUAUGUCAUGCAUGAAAUUGUUUGAGUAUUAAUGUAUUUGAUAUUAGUUAAAGUAUAAGUAUUUAAGUUUAAUUGUAUUCGGCUAAAACUUGAGAAGUUGACCGUAUGAAUAGUAAUUAUAAUUGAUUUGUUAGUCGAGUAGGCGAAAUGAGUAUGACCUAAAGUGGUGUUUGAAAUAUUUUGCAUAAAUUUUAAUUAUGAAUUAUGUGUUUAUGAAUUUGGUUCGGUAAUACCUCGUAACCUUAUUCUGAAGAUGGACUCGGGUUUAGGGUGUUACAAUUAUAUAAUAGGGUAAACUACACCACAGAUCACCCAUUUAUUGCUCUUUUUUUUUGUCACUCAACUAUCAUUUUUUUAAUGUGAUCAUUUAAUUAUUACAUUUUUUCUUUUUUGGUCACCCAACUAUCAUUUUUUUUAAAUUUGGUCAUACAACUAAUUGAAAUUAUUUUUGUUUGUCCAUUUCUAUUAAGUGUCGUUAAAUAUUUGACGAAAAAAUGACGUGACGAUUAAAAAAUUGGUAUAACAAUAAAUUUAACUCUAACUUUUAUAUAUUCUAUUGAUUUAUUAUUAAAUCAAUUUUAAUUUCAUGGCAACUGACAAAAAUAUACCAAAAAAAAUCUAAUUUAAUUAAAUGAAAAAAAAAACCAAUAAUGUAGUUUACCUAUAUAAUUAUAAGAUGUGGGCCGAACCUACCGGCCUAUAAUGUUUUACCACGAGGGAAUGUAAAAUUUCGAGACUGCCCUGCAAUCAUUUAAGCAAGUCAACUGAAGUCGAGCGGAUGUCCUUCGAUUUUUCAACAUUGGCUGCUAAAAUACCCGUAUAUUUCUCAUCAUUUAGGCAAACCAUUCCAGAGUAGAUAUCAAAGAAAAAAACAGCAGACAGGGUGAAGCAACGCCAAGGUAACAUAUAUUUUUCACAGUAGCUAAGCUAAGUAUAUUUAUUUGUUAACUCUGAUUUGAAUCGCUUUUCUGUGAAGUAGGUUACUCGCAACAAAUUCGUAUAAUCAGACGCUUUUCUCGUUUGCUUCAUCUGAGUGUAAUAGUUCAGGUAAGCUUUUCUUUCAUUUUAAAAGAAGGAAGACGAUGGGUGUGGGUUUGAGAAUAAUCUGAUUUCUUCUUUGUUUUGGAGGAAUUUCAAAAAUCUGACUUCCCAGUUUCGCAACAAUCUUACCUUCUAUAGUUUUUUUUUUUUUUAAUCUUAAAGUCAUUGAACAGUAGAAUAUAAUAUGUAUAAUAAAAUAUAAUAAAUAUAUAGAUCCAUAAUAAUUAGACCUCCUCUGGUUUCUCCGGUCUGUGUUUUCGGGCCCCUUAGACUUUUGUCUAGCAUCUUCUUUUUUGUACAACUUUUGAGAACUGUCGUCCACUGUCUGUAACUUUUUUAUAAUGAAAGUUUCUUUCAUAAAAUAAUCAUAAUUAGAAAAACGUAAUAUUUGAUUGGGUGAGAGAAAAAGACAAUAUAGGCAAGCUACUCAUAUUUUUAUUUUAAAUCAUUUCAAAAGAAUUUUUUAAUUUUAGUUAUCUGAACAUAAAAAUGAAUUAAAUUGACCAAUAAGUGGUAAUAAAAGAUUAACUGUACAUUUUUACCUUAAUCACUCUAAAAUUUAGAUAAAUUAUUCUUUAGUCACUGUAUAUAAAAACUAUUGCUACAUUGGUUUACCCAGUGGAUAACAUUUUACCUUAUAUAAAGAUAAAUUCCUAUUAUCACAGCUUUCCUCGUUUGCCUCAUCUUUGUAUAAUAUUUCAGGUAAGCUUUUCUUUUAUUUUCAAAGAUGAAAGACUAUGGGUGUGGGUUUGAGAAUAAUCUGAUUGCUUCUUUCUUUAAGCUAUGGUUUUGGAGGAAUUUCAAAUCUGACUUCCAGAUUUGAGUUUCGCAACAAUUUCUAGUUUUUUCUUUUUUAAAUUAAUUAUUCCGCCAUUAAAUGUAACAAAAGGCUAACAACGUAUUUUCACAUUCAUCACACUAAAACAAGGGGUUGUUACUGCUUUGGUUUAGGAUAACAUUUGAUCUUAUAUUUUUGUAUACGUUAGUUUUGUAAUUUAAUAACUUUUCUCAAUUUUGAAAAUUUUAAAUAUUCAAAGUCUAUUUGGACAUCACAAAAUAUUUAGUUGGAUAUUUAAUUUUGAAAAAUUGGGUGGCUAAAAGAAACAUAUUUAAUAGUUGAUUGACCAAGAUAUAAUAAACUAAAUAGUUAAAUGAAUAUUCAUAAAAUAUUUAUUAAUUUAAUUUUAAUAUAUUUCUGAUAACCAAAUUAUAAAAAUAUUCACUAUUGGUCUAACCAAAAUAAUUUACGUGUUUAACAGAAAAUUAUAUUUUAAUUUAAAAUUUAAUAAGAAAAAUAAUUUAUUAAUGAAAAAGGAAAUGACAAAAGAAUUUAAGCUAUAAUAAUAAGAAAAUCAUAUUUUAAUAAUAAAACACUAAAAUAAAUUCACAAAAAAUAAUAAUAAAAGGGAAAAGCUAAUUAGACAUUUUAGAAAGUUAAAAUGUUUUUAGUUCAAUCAAAGUACUUUGCACGUUGUAUCCAAAGUAUAUUAUUUAACUUUUAUAAGAAAAAUAUUUUUUAAAUAAAUAAAAAGAACAAAAGGAAAAAAUAAAUAUAAUAAGAAAAAAUAUUUUACUGGAAAAAAAAAAGAAUUCAUAAAAAUUAUACGAAAAAGGAAAAUCAAUUAAAUACUUUAUAAUAUUAUUUUAAAAGAACUCAUAAAAAAUUAAAUAUUUUAAAAGGGUAAAAAUGUUUUAUUUACAUAUUUUAUAUACGUAUUUUAGAAGAUUUUAUAUAUUUUGGAAGAAUAUUUUAUUUUUUAAUACCUUUUGGAGCUGACACUUAAUUUAUAUAUUGAUAGAUAUAUAAUCGUACAUUAAAAUCUAUCCUUCAUAAAGAAGUAAGUGUGACUAAUGGACGUAGUUAUUAUUACUACAUUGCAGAUUAUUUGGUGAAUUAUGGAACUUGCAGGACCAAUUUGUGAAGUGCUAAAGUGCUUAGGAGAUCCAACAUGUACAUACAUACAGCAUCACAGAAAACUUAAAGACAGGAUGAAUGAUCUUCAAGAGAGACUAGUCCGACUAAAUGCUAUGAAGAGAGAUGUGGAGCGGAGAAUAAACGCAGAGCUUCGAUGGGGAAGACUUUUAAGGGAAGAAGUAGAGAAGUGGCUUCUAGAUGUGCAAACCGUCAAUGAUACAAUGCGGGACAUUGAUGAACGAAUGCAAAAUGUGUCUUGUUUUUCACGUGCACGCCUUGGAAAACGUGCAGUUCAAACAAUUGAACAAGUGGAGGGAAUUAUUGAACGAGGUAGGUUCCCUGAAGCUCUAGUAAUUGAUAAUCCAUCUACUGCUGGAGUGCCUUUUCAAUCGGAACAUUUAGAAGGUGAAAUCAUGGUGAUAAAAGACAUUUGGAACUAUUUAAUGAGUGAUGAAAUUGGAAUGAUUGGAGUAUGUGGGAUGGGUGGGAUCGGGAAAACCACUAUCGUGAAGCACAUAUACUAUCAACUAUUGAAGGAGACUAAACCUUUGUUUGAUAAAAUCAUUUGGGUCACUGUUUCAAAGGAGCUCAACAUUCCCAAAUUACAGCAAAACCUUGCAACUGCUAUGAAUAUUGUAGGUCUUCCAGAAUCUGAACCAGAGCGUGUAGCAGUAUUAAUGGAUAAAUUGGGACAAAGAAGAUAUGUAUUGAUCUUAGAUGAUGUUUGGAAAAAGUUCUCUCUGGCAGACGUAGGGAUUCCUAAACCAACCUCCAGCAAUGGGAGUAAGUUGGUAUUAACUAGUAGAUUGAUUGAGGUUUGUAGAUCAAUGGACUGUAAGGUAGUCAAAGUGCCUCCACUCUCCAAUGAGGAGUCCAUGAAUUUAUUCUUGAAGCAUGCUGGACGUGGGGUUUUAAAGGUUCCAUCUUUGAAAGAAAUUUUGGACAACGUUGUUAAGGAGUGUGAUGGGUUACCCCUUGCCGUUGCUGUAAUAGCUGGGAGCAUGAAGGGAAUAUAUAACGUUGAAGAAUGGAGGAACGCAUUAAGAGAGUUACGAGACCAUGUAAGAAGCGUGAAGGGCACAGAUGUUGAAAUAUAUGAGCGAUUGAAGUUCAGUUUCGAUCGUUUGGGAGAUUUGAAAAUCCAAAGUUGUUUUCUUUAUUGCUCACUAUAUCCAGAAGACUAUAUAAUUCCAAGGAAGGAAUUAAUAGAAUACUGGAUAGAUGAGGAAUUUCUUGGAAAUGGGAGUCGACAAGAGUUGCAUGAUAAGGGUCAUACUAUAUUAAAUAGGCUGGAAAAUAAUUGUUUGUUGGAAAAGGUUGGUAGAGAUAUUGUGAAGAUGCAUGAUGUAAUGAGAGAUACAGCAUUGUAUAUCAAAGGUUCUGGCUCCCGUUUUAAGGUACAAUCUGGCAUCGGACUAAAAGAACUACCAAGCAAGCAAGAAUGGGGAGAAGAUCUUGAAAAAGUUUCCUUCAUGGUGAAUAACGUAUCUGAGAUUCCUCCGCACUUGUCACCCAAUUGUGAAGUUCUUUCUACCUUAUUAUUGCAAAAGAAUGAAUCAUUACAAAGGAUUUCAGAAUCGUUCUUUCAACAUAUGCAUAGACUCAGCAUUCUUGAUCUUUCUUAUACCAAUGUCAAGCAACUGCCAACUUCUGUGUCAAACUUGGAAAAGCUCAAAGCAUUGGUGCUUCGUCGAUGCUACAACUUGAGAUAUGUGCCUUCACUAGAAAAGCUUGAGGCUCUAAGAAAGUUGGACCUCAAUCGUACAGCUAUUGAAAAGGUGCCUAAAGGUUUGGAAAUGUUAUCAAAUCUAACUUAUCUUAAUUUAUGUGCUGAAAGCUUAAAGGAGCUGCCAGUUGCAAUUCUACCCAGGCUUUCUUGUCUGCAAUGUUUGAUGUUAUACGUUGAAUCAAGUCGUAUAAGAAUGAAUGGAUUCGAUGCUACCAGAUUAACGAAGCUAGAGAGAUUUGAAGGGAGAUUUACUGAGUUGAUAGACUUUAAUGCCUACACCAAGUCUAUACAAUGUCAACUGCUCACUUCUUACUUGCUUGUCAUGGCACCACUUGAAGCCAAGUUUAACGUGAAACAACGUAUAAAAGGCAUAAAUUGUGUUUACCGUUUCAAGUUGUUGAAUGUGGACAGCGACAAAGGGAGGCAGAAGGCGAUGAUGCUCGCAAGCGGGCUCCAAGGUACGGAUGCAAUUAAAUCCAUAAAAAUUCAAUAGAGUAGGGACCAUUUAGAAGGCCGAUUAAGGCCAGUGCGGGUAAGUUGGUAGUCCCAACUGUGUUGAAUGUCAUCGUGUGGCGCUGUGGAGACUGUAUCUCCACCCUGCUGCAUACCCAUGUUUUCUGACUGGACCCUUAAAGGUCCAGUGCCACUCACCGCACUCCCCUUCCCAUUAUAUCUCCUAAAGCUUUAUUAUAAUAAUAAUAAUAAUAAUAAUAAUAAUAAUAAUUAUUAUUAUUAUUAUUAUUAUUAUUAUUAUUAUUAUUAUUAUUGUUGUUGUUGUUGGACAAACCUUUAUUUCUCCCCCCAUCUUCUUGUUGUUUGUUGGUUUUUUCCCUUUUAUUUAUUCAAGGCUUUUAGUUAAUUAUUUAGUUAUAAAUGAAUUUAUAAAAUUAUCAUAGUAAAGGUUUAGAGUAAAUACUUUACACAUAUAAUUAAUUACACAAAAUAGCUUUAUAAUUAAUUAAUUACAAAUAAGAGUAAAGAGCCAGAACAUUGUAAAUUCUAAAAUAAAAGCAUAAGAAUAAUAUAUAUAAAUAUAUAAAUAAAUCAAGAAAUAAUCGAAUAAAUUGCCAUUAAUAUAUAAUCAUUUUUAAUAUAAAAUAAUGUGUCAACGAUUAAAAUUUUUAAGAUUUUAAAUGUUAAAUAAUGUUAUUAGGGAAAAAAAAGGUUAAAUAAUAUUAAAAUACAUAUAAAAACAACAAAAAAUUUAUUUUUUAAGUAUUAAUUAAUGUGAAUAUGUUAUUAUCAAUUCUUUUUAAAUAAUAUUAAAAUACAUAUAAAAACAAACAAAUUUUAUUUUUUUAAGUAUUAAUUUAUGUGAAUAUGUUAUUAUCAAUUCUUUUUUUUUAUUAAUUUCCCAUUACUUAUAGCAAAACUACUAUUUGGCAUAAAAAUAUUUUAAUAAAAUUUAUUUAUGACAUAAAUGUCAAAUUAUUUAAAAAUUAUGUUACACUCAAACUUUAGUUUGGCAUUUGUAUUUGUUUUGUUAAUAUAAUUUACUCACUGCCAUUUGUUUUUAUUAUCUAAUCACUUCGUAUUAUCCAUUUUGGUUCUACUGUGUUAUAGUUACUUGUACGUAGAGCAAUUAAAUUCUCUUUUACAAACCUUUUGAAUAUCACUUAAACCAAUUAUUUAAAUUCUAAAAUAAUCGUAUAUGACUCUACCGAGUGUAUUUUAUAAAGUUAUACUAAAUAUUAUAUUAUUUAAAUUUAAAAAAAUUAUAAAAUUAUGCUAAAAAUUAUAUUGUAAAAAAUAAUUUAUAUGUUACAAAAAGUCUUACAAUCUUUUUUUUUUUUAGUUAUGAAAAAAAAUUAUAUAAUUUGUAAGAAAUGUUAUGAAAGUUAUUGAACACUAUAUAAUUUUUUUAUAAAUAUUUUAUAUUAUUUUUUACCUGAUUUAUUUAUUAUAAAAAUAGUUAUAGCAUAAGUUUUUAUCCAAAUUAAGUUUAAGUUUUUAUAAUCAAAACUAAAUUAUAAAGUUUGUAAUAAUAAUGAUUUACUCAUUUAUUUCAACAUCAUAUAUUUACAAAUUAUGUAGUUUUCAUUCUUUAAAGGUUUAUUUAAAUUGUUAUUUAUUUAAACACUUAAAUUUUACAUUCCAACCAAAUAAAAUAAUCUUAUAUUCACCCACAAUUCUAUUAUUCCACAAACUAACUACACCUUUAAAUUUUUAUUUAUUUAUGCUCCUGUGCUUUAAUACGGUAUGGUGGCUAAUGUAGUACCCCCCCCCCCAAAAAAAAAUACAAUUGGCAAUAGUAACACUAAUGAUUAAUUAUAUUAGAAAUUGAGUUUGAUAAGUACUAUCAUUCUUGAUUGGUGAAGGUGCGGAAUCUGUUUCCUUGAUCUCUAAAGAUAGGACGAUUCUGGAAGUGUCUGGUGACUCAGAAAUGGGACCCACUAAAAUUGCGGCAAAUUGGAAGAAACGAGGUAUAGAAGUGCAGCUCGUGGAUGAGCGGUGGGACCCUACCUCUCUUCCUAUGAAAUACGUGAUAUUAAGCGGGUGUCCGAUAGGACGAGAAGAUCCAGCAGAGCUCCCAAGUGACGUUAGGACUCUGAAAAUUUUUGGGUGCCACAAUAUCAGAAGCUUAAGUGAUAUGCCCUUCUUUCAGCAAACAAAUGAGUUGGGGUUCUGUUCGAUUCACGAUUGUAGAGGGAUAGAAUCUGUGCUUGAUCUGUCGUCACCAUCCCAAUCAUGCACCCCAUUUGAGAACCUUGACCUCUUGUGGCUUGAAAAUUUAGAGAACCUUCAUGUGCUUGUUAAACUAGCAGAAGCAUCCGUUGUUUCUACAUUGAGUUCGCAGUCUAUUCCAGCCAUCUUUUCCCAUCUUAAAUCAUUUUAUAUUGAAGGAUGCUCAAACAUGAAGCA